RNAcentral lists this ribosomal RNA (253 nucleotides) under uncultured bacterium. RNAcentral's name for it is "partial 16S ribosomal RNA". It matches the Rfam family "Bacterial small subunit ribosomal RNA", at positions 524 to 776 of the family's 1533-position model. The record is from RNAcentral.
UACAGAGGUCUCAAGCGUUGUUCGGAUUCAUUGGGCGUAAAGGGUGCGUAGGCGGCGCGGUAAGUCGGGUGUGAAAUCUCGGAGCUUAACUUCGAAACUGCAUUCGAUACUGCCGUGCUUGAGGACUGGAGAGGAGACUGGAAUUUACGGUGUAGCGGUGAAAUGCGCAGAUAUCAGGAGGAACACCGGUGGUGUAGACGGCUUUCUGGACCGACACUGACGCUGAGACACGAAAGCGUGGGUAGCAAACAGG